GUUUAAUUUCGGUUCUCCCUUGAGCUGGCCCGCUGUUCUAACAGCAUCUCCUACUCUAAUAAACUUUAUUCUCCUCUCAUUCUGCCUCAGGUCUGGAAAUUCUUUUCCAACCCGUGCCCGGACCACGACACGACUUUUUACGACCUCAUGGAUGUAGCCCGUCAGGGCCCUCUGUCCAUGGGAUUUCCCAGGGCCGAUAAAAGGUAGAAGAACAUAUUCAGCUCCCGAUUUAGACACUGUGCAGUGGUUUUACGGAUACAAAAGCUGUCUUAGCAUCAACAAGGUGGCAUUGAAAUCUGGGUCACAUAUAUGACUGAGCACAAAACUUUUAAAAAAU
Bos taurus (domestic cattle) is the source of this 337-nucleotide long non-coding RNA. The record is from Ensembl. NCBI's taxonomy places the organism in Eukaryota, Metazoa, Chordata, Mammalia, Artiodactyla, Bovidae.